CAAAUAGGGAAAUGGUCCCAAUCGUUUUUCCAUAGGGAAUUUAAGAAACACUUAACAUAUGGUCUGUGUUUCGUGUAGGCGUACCCUGGUGUGACCUUUUGAUAACCGUGUAAAUCUCUCUAGGACAAGGUGACUUUUAUCAAUAUAUUUACCUGCAAAAAAUGAAAUGUUAAUUAGCUGCUAAUGGGGCUAUCAUAAAGAACUGCAAAUACCAUGUGAUCUGGACAAGACUGCCAAAUCGAGGCAAUGGUGGAGCACACACCUGGAAAAAGAGAAAUAACACCCUGUCUGUGUGUACUUUCACCACCAGAGAGAGCUAUUUGUCCAGGUUUUCUGUCCACUGAUCUCUUUCAGUGAGUAGAAUGUGACGUUGAUUUGCAGUGAGAGACUUAUGAUGGUGACACACAUCUCUGCG
Long non-coding RNA from Oncorhynchus tshawytscha (Chinook salmon), 415 nucleotides. NCBI's taxonomy places the organism in Eukaryota, Metazoa, Chordata, Actinopteri, Salmoniformes, Salmonidae. The record is from Ensembl.